This 496-nucleotide ribosomal RNA is filed under the name uncultured bacterium. RNAcentral describes it as "partial 16S ribosomal RNA". It matches the Rfam family "Bacterial small subunit ribosomal RNA", at positions 29 to 507 of the family's 1533-position model. The record is from RNAcentral.
AUGAACGCUGGCGGCGUGCCUCAUACAUGCAAGUCGCGCCAACAGACGAGGAGCUUGCUCCUUUGACGUUAGCGGCGGACGGGUGAGUAACACGUGGAUAACCUACCUAUAAGACUGGGAUAACUUCGGGAAACCGGAGCUAAUACCGGAUAACAUGUUGAACCGCAUGGUUCAACAGUGAAAGACGGUCUUGCUGUCACUUAUAGAUGGAUCCGCGCCGCAUUAGCUAGUUGGUAAGGUAACGGCUUACCAAGGCAACGAUGCGUAGCCGACCUGAGAGGGUGAUCGGCCACACGGGAACUGAGACACGGUCCAGACUCCUACGGGAGGCAGCAGUAGGGAAUCUUCCGCAAUGGGCGAAAGCCUGACGGAGCAACGCCGCGUGAGUGAAGAAGGUCUUCGGAUCGUAAAACUCUGUUAUUAGGGAAGAACAAAUGUGUAAGUAACUAUGCACGUCUUGACGGUACCUAAUCAGAAAGCCACGGCUAACUACGUG